AUGCCUGGGAGUGUCCAUAACUCUCCAGGGGGCACUUCUUGUACACGCGCUCACCCACAUGCUCGCGCGCGCGCUCGCGCGCGCACACACACACACACACACGCACACGCACGCAUCUGGCGCUUGAAUCGCAGAUAACCUGACCCGACACUAACCUUGGCAGGGCUACAGACGUAACAUUUUUACCAGGAUGAACUGCUGUUGAACAAUUUCUCCAAUGCAUUAGUCAUGCUUCAACUUUAGACAUGCAGGUUUUUAAACGCUCUUUAAUGCACGCGGCUUCCUGAUGUGGUGGAGGAAAGGAGAGUAUUAUCAUUUCUGAAUGCCAGAGUUAUUGGCGCACUCAUAAUAUAAAAGCCAUCAAGUGUCACCGAUAUCAAGGGAUUCUCUUUCCUAAAGCAGGUGGACCUAUCUUUUGGGAGUUCCUUUGAAUUGCCAGAAUUGAGAAAUCACAGAAUUGCCUGUAGAAACCGAAAUGGAAAACAGUGACGGAGUCAGCAUAGUGCUUUGAACAGCAAAUGGACCGGCGAACACGGAGAAAGCGAGGCAGGCCUCCUUUUACUCCACCAGGGAUUCUGCCUGGCCUCUUUGAGCUCGAGUGUUCUCAGGCUCAGGUCACAUGAAGACAUCAUUAUCGCCUCAUUGUUCAGAACACCUGGCCAGAGAGACCGGAGGGUGAACAAUUGCUGGAUGACAAAUGGCCUUAAGCGCUGGCCUGCUUUGCCUAAUUGUACAGCUGUCAUGGUAAUAAACCACAUAGUAAAGAGAAGAACCCACAGAGCUCUGCGUUAGAGCUUGUAGAGCAACCGCCAUGCAAUCAAAGUAUCAGGCUGCAGGAGUGGCAGAAGCCAUUUCUAGAGUGUGGUUGACCUAGAUGUUGCACUUGGGCUGUCAUGUGGGUGCUGCUCAUUGGAGCCACACGUGAGAACGGUGAUGACUCGGGCUCUUCUGCUCGCUUGCUCGGAUGUCUCAGUUCCUAACUGUGUCCUCUAGCUCUUUAAACCGGCAGAAGGAGACUGUGAAAUCUGCAAGAUCCUGUAGGAGUUGAGGUGAUAGGGCCCAGGUACGAAGCUCAAGCCCGGAGCUCUCCGGAAUGUUGUCUGGAUCAGUGAAGAACUAGAUACUGUGACAAGGGUGCCAGGAAUAAAGAAAAGGAGGAUCGUUUAUUUAGAGAUCA
This 1177-nucleotide long non-coding RNA is filed under the name Felis catus (domestic cat). RNAcentral describes it as "lncRNA (ENSFCAG00000052423.1)". The record is from RNAcentral. Lineage: Eukaryota; Metazoa; Chordata; Mammalia; Carnivora; Felidae.